UCUGAUACCACUAUAAUCUGUCACGCCCUGGACUUCAGCGGAAGCUCACCAGUCACGUGCACAGACCCGCCGUGUAUAUCACAACUCAGUAAACUCAAUAUACACCAGGCGUCUACAAUCAAUAUAGUAAAAAGCAAUCAAUUCUAACCAGGUAAUCAGAGCACAACUUCAAAGUAUAAACUUAUACAACCCAAAACCUUAAUACAAAAUAAAAAUCGAAUACAUUCUACAUAAACCCAAAGUAUAACACAAAACUAAACUAGAAGUGCUG
Molecule: long non-coding RNA, 271 nt
Filed under: Ananas comosus (pineapple)
Lineage: Eukaryota; Viridiplantae; Streptophyta; Magnoliopsida; Poales; Bromeliaceae
Description: long non-coding RNA (ACOM_LNC044854)
Source: RNAcentral